CCAAACUUGCUCGUAUAACUACUCGUCUUAAAUAGGAAAAACGUUGAUGUGUUUGGUCACUUCUAACUUUAUCUCUAAAUGGUACCAUUGAAUGAAUGGGGCUAAGCUAAAUGCUAUCGAAGCGUCGCAGUGCGCUCCAGCGCUUACGUGCACGCACACAGAUGAUAGAGGGAUGUAUCAACAAUUCUUUGUUAAGGUAAUAACAUAUUUUAAUAUUGAAAAUGAGUAGACUAUUCCUUUAACUAGUCAAUGGCAGGGAAUAGAGUUAAAGGUGCAGUGUGUAAUUUUUAGAAGGAUCUCUUGACAGAAAUGCAAAAUAAUAUACAAAACUAUAUUAUCAGGGGUGUAUAAAGACCUUUUUAUAAUGAACCGUUAUGUGUUUAUUGCCUUAAAAUGAGACGUUUUAUCUACAUACACCGAGGGUCCCCUUACAUGGAAGCCGCCAUUUUGUGCAGCCAUGUUUUUACAGAAGCCCUUAAAAGACAAACUUUUUUACUAAGUUAUCUCCAAUGAUGACAUGUUUGUCCGGUGGCGGCUACCGUAGCUUCUCUAUGUGUUUCAAAAGCAAGAGGUGAGCAGUGGACUGAGCCGUUGGUUGCAAUUCAUAACCUCACCACUAGAUGCUGCUAAUAUUUACACACUGCACCUUUAAUAUCACUGACAUCAAACCUGACACAGAGGAAAACUAACUAAGUUUUAAAAUGAAAAGAGUGGGAGUGAAUGGUUACAGGAUUAAACGGGCUGUGUUUAAAAAAGCUCUUAUGUUUAUUAACUUGAAGAGGGCAAACCAGAUUAAGGACAGUUGAUGGUUUAUUAUUUUAACAGUGGGUAAACCUCAAGGGACUUUGUGUCUCUUGGCAUGACAUUUAAUUCAGUAAUUAGGCAGCUGUGUAGUUUUCUAUUAACUAAGUUUCCAUAGUUUUACAGAACAAGGAAGUGAUUUGUUGAAGAAUUCUGCAGCAUCUUUCUCUCUCUUUCUCUGCACUGCCCUUUAAAAAAUAUCUUCACUACCCACCCACAGUAACAAAACAGUGCAGGGGGACAUGCAGAGAGCUGUCUUUGCCUAUCAGCAUCAGGCCCUUUAUUUAGUUUAUCUCUGUGGAUUAGUAUUAUUUGCUGCAUAGCGCACUACAUGUAUCUGAGUGGCCAAACCAAAGCACAUGUCCACACUAAUUGUAUGCUCAUGUAGUAGACUGAGGGCAGAUGUAUGCAGGCACAAUCCUCCAUUAGAUUUGUAUACCAGACAACAAAGAUAGAGAUGGGAAAGUAUGUGUAAGUGAAUGUAAAAGCUUAAAGGAAGAAAUAGUAAAUCAAACAAAUGUCUGUAUCUGUGCCUUUUAUGAUUGGAAAUGUAGUUUUCUAUCAGAGUUGUGAUGUCAUAUGUGACCCAUGCUGUGAUUGGACUGUUGUGUCUUUUAAAAAACAAUGUUGCAAUUGAAACAAAGUGAUGAAAAAAAGAAACCUUUAUUAAAAAGCAAUCAUAGUGAUAUUAUUAAGUCCAACCAAAUAUUUUAUUUCAGGAAACAAUGUAUGUAGAGAAGACUAGAUCACGGUCAAAUAUGUGUUUGGUUAACCUUGUGUCCGGAUUGCACUUCAGUAGAGGUUGGGUUGUACUAUAACUGAUCUCCGUCAUUCCAGUUAAUCAUCAAUAUUGAUGUGUGCGUCUGUGUUUUUUGAAACAAACACACCCUCGAGCAAUGUUUGAGUUUGUCUGGGUAGUUUACGGUAUGUGUCUAAGAUAGUAAGGGAAAUAUAGACUUCAGUAUUAUUAAAGACAGCAAGAUAAUUUGAAGAGUAAUCCCUCAUACAUUUUAACCUUUAUGAUCAAAGAAUAAAUAAAAACAUCUUAAAAACAUUUGAGGUACAGAAAUUGACCUGUUUAUUAAACACUAUCUCCUCCUGGCAUAUAUGGCAGAGCAACGUUUAUUUCAAUUCAGCCCACAUUUCAUUGGCCCGGUGUUGGGUAAUACCAAAUAACUGGGUGUUAAGGUAUUUGUGAACGAUACUGGGCUUGCUUGGGGGUGCUUUCAUUUAUUAUUUAGUAUUUAAUGUUCAUUUUCAUCAUUUCAUUUAAAGGAAUAUUUUAGGUUAUUCAAAAUUUGUAUAUGUGACCCUGGACCACAAAACCAUCAUAAGGAUGAUAAUAGUUGAAUAAAAAAGCUUUACAAUAUUUGGCUGAGAUACAACUAUUUGAAAAUCUGGUAUGUGAGGGUGCAAAAAAAUCUAAAUAUGGAGAAAAUCACCUUUUAAAGUUGUCCAAAUUAAAUACUUAGCAACUGCAUCCACUCACAAAAAUAAAGUUUUCAUAUAUUUACGGUAAGAAAUGU
Misgurnus anguillicaudatus (oriental weatherfish) is the source of this 2327-nucleotide non-coding RNA. The record is from RefSeq and is a predicted model, not a curated record. Lineage: Eukaryota; Metazoa; Chordata; Actinopteri; Cypriniformes; Cobitidae.